Molecule: unclassified non-coding RNA, 419 nt
Filed under: Hevea brasiliensis (rubber tree)
Lineage: Eukaryota; Viridiplantae; Streptophyta; Magnoliopsida; Malpighiales; Euphorbiaceae
Source: RNAcentral
AUGAUAUGAGUUUAUUUGUUACAAAAAUGUAGUAGGUUUCCCCACAGCUAAACCUCUACAGGUUCAACUGAAUCGACUGCUUUUCCGCUCGAACUAUGUAUACAUAUGAAGAAAAAAAAAGACAAAAUGUAUACAUAUAAUACAAUUACACUUAUUUUCAAACCACUUACUCAACAUUCUGGAUUCUGAAUUCGCCUUUGAUCAUACGUAUAAUAUGUACUUCCAACCAAAAGAAUGUGACAUUUUGACAUAGUGAAUGUCCUCAGAAUGCAGCUUUCCAUAGUGCAUUCUCUCCCUCGCCACAAUGGCGAUGGACCUCCUUCAUCCUAUCGACAGACCUGCAUAUUCCACUGCAGGUCCAGUCGAAAGAGGCAACACAAACGUUGCCUGCCUGUGCCUUCCAUUCACAAUCAGGUGGG